UUCCAUCAUGGCCCGGAUAAUUGAGCGGUCAGUGGUUCUGGCUGAUAGCGGUGUGAUUUCGCCGUUGGGACC
This 72-nucleotide transfer RNA is filed under the name Escherichia coli. Its description in RNAcentral is "tRNA-Thr(ggt)". The record is from RNAcentral. Lineage: Bacteria; Pseudomonadati; Pseudomonadota; Gammaproteobacteria; Enterobacterales; Enterobacteriaceae.